GAUCAUUACUGAGUUUACGCUCUACAACCCUUUGUGAACAUACCUAUAACUGUUGCUUCGGCGGGCAGGGUCUCCGUGACCCUCCCGGCCUCCCGCCCCCGGGCGGGUCGGCGCCCGCCGGAGGAUAACCAAACUCUGAUUUAACGACGUUUCUUCUGAGUGGUACAAGCAAAUAAUCAAAACUUUUAACAACGGAUCUCUUGGUUCUGGCAUCGAUGAAGAACGCAGCGAAAUGCGAUAAGUAAUGUGAAUUGCAGAAUUCAGUGAAUCAUCGAAUCUUUGAACGCACAUUGCGCCCGCCAGCAUUCUGGCGGGCAUGCCUGUUCGAGCGUCAUUUCAACCCUCAAGCUCUGCUUGGUGUUGGGGCCCUACGGCUGACGUAGGCCCUCAAAGGUAGUGGCGGACCCUCCCGGAGCCUCCUUUGCGUAGUAACUUUACGUCUCGCACUGGGAUCCGGAGGGACUCUUGCCGUAAAACCCCCAAUUUUCCAAAGGUUGACCUCGGAUCAGGUAGGAAUACCCGCUGAACUUAAGCAUAUCAAUAAGCGGAGGAAAAGAAACCAACAGGGAUUGCCUCAGUAACGGCGAGUGAAGCGGCAACAGCUCAAAUUUGAAAUCUGGCCCCAGGCCCGAGUUGUAAUUUGCAGAGGAUGCUUUUGGUGAGGUGCCUUCCAAGUUCCCUAGAACGGGACGCCAGAGAGGGUGAGAGCCCCGUACAGUUGGACACCGAGCCUUUGUAAAGCUCCUUCGACGAGUCGAGUAGUUUGGGAAUGCUGCUCAAAAUGGGAGGUAUAUUUCUUCUAAAGCUAAAUACCGGCCAGAGACCGAUAGCGCACAAGUAGAGUGAUCGAAAGAUGAAAAGCACUUUGAAAAGAGGGUUAAACAGCACGUGAAAUUGUUAAAAGGGAAGCGCUUGUGACCAGACUUGCGUCCGGUGAAUCACCCAGCUCUCGCGGCUGGGGCACUUCGCCGGCUCAGGCCAGCAUCAGCUCGCUGUCGGGGACAAAAGCUUCAGGAACGUAGCUCUCUUCGGGGAGUGUUAUAGCCUGUUGCAUAAUACCCUUCGGCGGGCUGAGGUACGC
RNAcentral lists this unclassified non-coding RNA (1081 nucleotides) under leaf metagenome. RNAcentral's name for it is "partial contains internal transcribed spacer 1, 5.8S ribosomal RNA, internal transcribed spacer 2, and large subunit ribosomal RNA". The stretch from base 496 to 1081 matches the Rfam family "Eukaryotic large subunit ribosomal RNA", at positions 1 to 598 of the family's 3401-position model. The record is from RNAcentral.